This 7655-nucleotide long non-coding RNA is filed under the name Homo sapiens (human). The record is from RNAcentral. Lineage: Eukaryota; Metazoa; Chordata; Mammalia; Primates; Hominidae.
UAUUUCUGCAUGUGUAGUUUGCAUUCAAGUUCCAUAAGCUGUUAAGAAAAAUCUAGAAAAGUAAAACUAGAACCUAUUUUUAACCGAAGAACUACUUUUUGCCUCCCUCACAAAGGCGGCGGAAGGUGAUCGAAUUCCGGUGAUGCGAGUUGUUCUCCGUCUAUAAAUACGCCUCGCCCGAGCUGUGCGGUAGGCAUUGAGGCAGCCAGCGCAGGGGCUUCUGCUGAGGGGGCAGGCGGAGCUUGAGGAAACCGCAGAUAAGUUUUUUUCUCUUUGAAAGAUAGAGAUUAAUACAACUACUUAAAAAAUAUAGUCAAUAGGUUACUAAGAUAUUGCUUAGCGUUAAGUUUUUAACGUAAUUUUAAUAGCUUAAGAUUUUAAGAGAAAAUAUGAAGACUUAGAAGAGUAGCAUGAGGAAGGAAAAGAUAAAAGGUUUCUAAAACAUGACGGAGGUUGAGAUGAAGCUUCUUCAUGGAGUAAAAAAUGUAUUUAAAAGAAAAUUGAGAGAAAGGACUACAGAGCCCCGAAUUAAUACCAAUAGAAGGGCAAUGCUUUUAGAUUAAAAUGAAGGUGACUUAAACAGCUUAAAGUUUAGUUUAAAAGUUGUAGGUGAUUAAAAUAAUUUGAAGGCGAUCUUUUAAAAAGAGAUUAAACCGAAGGUGAUUAAAAGACCUUGAAAUCCAUGACGCAGGGAGAAUUGCGUCAUUUAAAGCCUAGUUAACGCAUUUACUAAACGCAGACGAAAAUGGAAAGAUUAAUUGGGAGUGGUAGGAUGAAACAAUUUGGAGAAGAUAGAAGUUUGAAGUGGAAAACUGGAAGACAGAAGUACGGGAAGGCGAAGAAAAGAAUAGAGAAGAUAGGGAAAUUAGAAGAUAAAAACAUACUUUUAGAAGAAAAAAGAUAAAUUUAAACCUGAAAAGUAGGAAGCAGAAGAAAAAAGACAAGCUAGGAAACAAAAAGCUAAGGGCAAAAUGUACAAACUUAGAAGAAAAUUGGAAGAUAGAAACAAGAUAGAAAAUGAAAAUAUUGUCAAGAGUUUCAGAUAGAAAAUGAAAAACAAGCUAAGACAAGUAUUGGAGAAGUAUAGAAGAUAGAAAAAUAUAAAGCCAAAAAUUGGAUAAAAUAGCACUGAAAAAAUGAGGAAAUUAUUGGUAACCAAUUUAUUUUAAAAGCCCAUCAAUUUAAUUUCUGGUGGUGCAGAAGUUAGAAGGUAAAGCUUGAGAAGAUGAGGGUGUUUACGUAGACCAGAACCAAUUUAGAAGAAUACUUGAAGCUAGAAGGGGAAGUUGGUUAAAAAUCACAUCAAAAAGCUACUAAAAGGACUGGUGUAAUUUAAAAAAAACUAAGGCAGAAGGCUUUUGGAAGAGUUAGAAGAAUUUGGAAGGCCUUAAAUAUAGUAGCUUAGUUUGAAAAAUGUGAAGGACUUUCGUAACGGAAGUAAUUCAAGAUCAAGAGUAAUUACCAACUUAAUGUUUUUGCAUUGGACUUUGAGUUAAGAUUAUUUUUUAAAUCCUGAGGACUAGCAUUAAUUGACAGCUGACCCAGGUGCUACACAGAAGUGGAUUCAGUGAAUCUAGGAAGACAGCAGCAGACAGGAUUCCAGGAACCAGUGUUUGAUGAAGCUAGGACUGAGGAGCAAGCGAGCAAGCAGCAGUUCGUGGUGAAGAUAGGAAAAGAGUCCAGGAGCCAGUGCGAUUUGGUGAAGGAAGCUAGGAAGAAGGAAGGAGCGCUAACGAUUUGGUGGUGAAGCUAGGAAAAAGGAUUCCAGGAAGGAGCGAGUGCAAUUUGGUGAUGAAGGUAGCAGGCGGCUUGGCUUGGCAACCACACGGAGGAGGCGAGCAGGCGUUGUGCGUAGAGGAUCCUAGACCAGCAUGCCAGUGUGCCAAGGCCACAGGGAAAGCGAGUGGUUGGUAAAAAUCCGUGAGGUCGGCAAUAUGUUGUUUUUCUGGAACUUACUUAUGGUAACCUUUUAUUUAUUUUCUAAUAUAAUGGGGGAGUUUCGUACUGAGGUGUAAAGGGAUUUAUAUGGGGACGUAGGCCGAUUUCCGGGUGUUGUAGGUUUCUCUUUUUCAGGCUUAUACUCAUGAAUCUUGUCUGAAGCUUUUGAGGGCAGACUGCCAAGUCCUGGAGAAAUAGUAGAUGGCAAGUUUGUGGGUUUUUUUUUUUUACACGAAUUUGAGGAAAACCAAAUGAAUUUGAUAGCCAAAUUGAGACAAUUUCAGCAAAUCUGUAAGCAGUUUGUAUGUUUAGUUGGGGUAAUGAAGUAUUUCAGUUUUGUGAAUAGAUGACCUGUUUUUACUUCCUCACCCUGAAUUCGUUUUGUAAAUGUAGAGUUUGGAUGUGUAACUGAGGCGGGGGGGAGUUUUCAGUAUUUUUUUUUGUGGGGGUGGGGGCAAAAUAUGUUUUCAGUUCUUUUUCCCUUAGGUCUGUCUAGAAUCCUAAAGGCAAAUGACUCAAGGUGUAACAGAAAACAAGAAAAUCCAAUAUCAGGAUAAUCAGACCACCACAGGUUUACAGUUUAUAGAAACUAGAGCAGUUCUCACGUUGAGGUCUGUGGAAGAGAUGUCCAUUGGAGAAAUGGCUGGUAGUUACUCUUUUUUCCCCCCACCCCCUUAAUCAGACUUUAAAAGUGCUUAACCCCUUAAACUUGUUAUUUUUUACUUGAAGCAUUUUGGGAUGGUCUUAACAGGGAAGAGAGAGGGUGGGGGAGAAAAUGUUUUUUUCUAAGAUUUUCCACAGAUGCUAUAGUACUAUUGACAAACUGGGUUAGAGAAGGAGUGUACCGCUGUGCUGUUGGCACGAACACCUUCAGGGACUGGAGCUGCUUUUAUCCUUGGAAGAGUAUUCCCAGUUGAAGCUGAAAAGUACAGCACAGUGCAGCUUUGGUUCAUAUUCAGUCAUCUCAGGAGAACUUCAGAAGAGCUUGAGUAGGCCAAAUGUUGAAGUUAAGUUUUCCAAUAAUGUGACUUCUUAAAAGUUUUAUUAAAGGGGAGGGGCAAAUAUUGGCAAUUAGUUGGCAGUGGCCUGUUACGGUUGGGAUUGGUGGGGUGGGUUUAGGUAAUUGUUUAGUUUAUGAUUGCAGAUAAACUCAUGCCAGAGAACUUAAAGUCUUAGAAUGGAAAAAGUAAAGAAAUAUCAACUUCCAAGUUGGCAAGUAACUCCCAAUGAUUUAGUUUUUUUCCCCCCAGUUUGAAUUGGGAAGCUGGGGGAAGUUAAAUAUGAGCCACUGGGUGUACCAGUGCAUUAAUUUGGGCAAGGAAAGUGUCAUAAUUUGAUACUGUAUCUGUUUUCCUUCAAAGUAUAGAGCUUUUGGGGAAGGAAAGUAUUGAACUGGGGGUUGGUCUGGCCUACUGGGCUGACAUUAACUACAAUUAUGGGAAAUGCAAAAGUUGUUUGGAUAUGGUAGUGUGUGGUUCUCUUUUGGAAUUUUUUUCAGGUGAUUUAAUAAUAAUUUAAAACUACUAUAGAAACUGCAGAGCAAAGGAAGUGGCUUAAUGAUCCUGAAGGGAUUUCUUCUGAUGGUAGCUUUUGUAUUAUCAAGUAAGAUUCUAUUUUCAGUUGUGUGUAAGCAAGUUUUUUUUUAGUGUAGGAGAAAUACUUUUCCAUUGUUUAACUGCAAAACAAGAUGUUAAGGUAUGCUUCAAAAAUUUUGUAAAUUGUUUAUUUUAAACUUAUCUGUUUGUAAAUUGUAACUGAUUAAGAAUUGUGAUAGUUCAGCUUGAAUGUCUCUUAGAGGGUGGGCUUUUGUUGAUGAGGGAGGGGAAACUUUUUUUUUUUCUAUAGACUUUUUUCAGAUAACAUCUUCUGAGUCAUAACCAGCCUGGCAGUAUGAUGGCCUAGAUGCAGAGAAAACAGCUCCUUGGUGAAUUGAUAAGUAAAGGCAGAAAAGAUUAUAUGUCAUACCUCCAUUGGGGAAUAAGCAUAACCCUGAGAUUCUUACUACUGAUGAGAACAUUAUCUGCAUAUGCCAAAAAAUUUUAAGCAAAUGAAAGCUACCAAUUUAAAGUUACGGAAUCUACCAUUUUAAAGUUAAUUGCUUGUCAAGCUAUAACCACAAAAAUAAUGAAUUGAUGAGAAAUACAAUGAAGAGGCAAUGUCCAUCUCAAAAUACUGCUUUUACAAAAGCAGAAUAAAAGCGAAAAGAAAUGAAAAUGUUACACUACAUUAAUCCUGGAAUAAAAGAAGCCGAAAUAAAUGAGAGAUGAGUUGGGAUCAAGUGGAUUGAGGAGGCUGUGCUGUGUGCCAAUGUUUCGUUUGCCUCAGACAGGUAUCUCUUCGUUAUCAGAAGAGUUGCUUCAUUUCAUCUGGGAGCAGAAAACAGCAGGCAGCUGUUAACAGAUAAGUUUAACUUGCAUCUGCAGUAUUGCAUGUUAGGGAUAAGUGCUUAUUUUUAAGAGCUGUGGAGUUCUUAAAUAUCAACCAUGGCACUUUCUCCUGACCCCUUCCCUAGGGGAUUUCAGGAUUGAGAAAUUUUUCCAUCGAGCCUUUUUAAAAUUGUAGGACUUGUUCCUGUGGGCUUCAGUGAUGGGAUAGUACACUUCACUCAGAGGCAUUUGCAUCUUUAAAUAAUUUCUUAAAAGCCUCUAAAGUGAUCAGUGCCUUGAUGCCAACUAAGGAAAUUUGUUUAGCAUUGAAUCUCUGAAGGCUCUAUGAAAGGAAUAGCAUGAUGUGCUGUUAGAAUCAGAUGUUACUGCUAAAAUUUACAUGUUGUGAUGUAAAUUGUGUAGAAAACCAUUAAAUCAUUCAAAAUAAUAAACUAUUUUUAUUAGAGAAUGUAUACUUUUAGAAAGCUGUCUCCUUAUUUAAAUAAAAUAGUGUUUGUCUGUAGUUCAGUGUUGGGGCAAUCUUGGGGGGGAUUCUUCUCUAAUCUUUCAGAAACUUUGUCUGCGAACACUCUUUAAUGGACCAGAUCAGGAUUUGAGCGGAAGAACGAAUGUAACUUUAAGGCAGGAAAGACAAAUUUUAUUCUUCAUAAAGUGAUGAGCAUAUAAUAAUUCCAGGCACAUGGCAAUAGAGGCCCUCUAAAUAAGGAAUAAAUAACCUCUUAGACAGGUGGGAGAUUAUGAUCAGAGUAAAAGGUAAUUACACAUUUUAUUUCCAGAAAGUCAGGGGUCUAUAAAUUGACAGUGAUUAGAGUAAUACUUUUUCACAUUUCCAAAGUUUGCAUGUUAACUUUAAAUGCUUACAAUCUUAGAGUGGUAGGCAAUGUUUUACACUAUUGACCUUAUAUAGGGAAGGGAGGGGGUGCCUGUGGGGUUUUAAAGAAUUUUCCUUUGCAGAGGCAUUUCAUCCUUCAUGAAGCCAUUCAGGAUUUUGAAUUGCAUAUGAGUGCUUGGCUCUUCCUUCUGUUCUAGUGAGUGUAUGAGACCUUGCAGUGAGUUUAUCAGCAUACUCAAAAUUUUUUUCCUGGAAUUUGGAGGGAUGGGAGGAGGGGGUGGGGCUUACUUGUUGUAGCUUUUUUUUUUUUUACAGACUUCACAGAGAAUGCAGUUGUCUUGACUUCAGGUCUGUCUGUUCUGUUGGCAAGUAAAUGCAGUACUGUUCUGAUCCCGCUGCUAUUAGAAUGCAUUGUGAAACGACUGGAGUAUGAUUAAAAGUUGUGUUCCCCAAUGCUUGGAGUAGUGAUUGUUGAAGGAAAAAAUCCAGCUGAGUGAUAAAGGCUGAGUGUUGAGGAAAUUUCUGCAGUUUUAAGCAGUCGUAUUUGUGAUUGAAGCUGAGUACAUUUUGCUGGUGUAUUUUUAGGUAAAAUGCUUUUUGUUCAUUUCUGGUGGUGGGAGGGGACUGAAGCCUUUAGUCUUUUCCAGAUGCAACCUUAAAAUCAGUGACAAGAAACAUUCCAAACAAGCAACAGUCUUCAAGAAAUUAAACUGGCAAGUGGAAAUGUUUAAACAGUUCAGUGAUCUUUAGUGCAUUGUUUAUGUGUGGGUUUCUCUCUCCCCUCCCUUGGUCUUAAUUCUUACAUGCAGGAACACUCAGCAGACACACGUAUGCGAAGGGCCAGAGAAGCCAGACCCAGUAAGAAAAAAUAGCCUAUUUACUUUAAAUAAACCAAACAUUCCAUUUUAAAUGUGGGGAUUGGGAACCACUAGUUCUUUCAGAUGGUAUUCUUCAGACUAUAGAAGGAGCUUCCAGUUGAAUUCACCAGUGGACAAAAUGAGGAAAACAGGUGAACAAGCUUUUUCUGUAUUUACAUACAAAGUCAGAUCAGUUAUGGGACAAUAGUAUUGAAUAGAUUUCAGCUUUAUGCUGGAGUAACUGGCAUGUGAGCAAACUGUGUUGGCGUGGGGGUGGAGGGGUGAGGUGGGCGCUAAGCCUUUUUUUAAGAUUUUUCAGGUACCCCUCACUAAAGGCACCGAAGGCUUAAAGUAGGACAACCAUGGAGCCUUCCUGUGGCAGGAGAGACAACAAAGCGCUAUUAUCCUAAGGUCAAGAGAAGUGUCAGCCUCACCUGAUUUUUAUUAGUAAUGAGGACUUGCCUCAACUCCCUCUUUCUGGAGUGAAGCAUCCGAAGGAAUGCUUGAAGUACCCCUGGGCUUCUCUUAACAUUUAAGCAAGCUGUUUUUAUAGCAGCUCUUAAUAAUAAAGCCCAAAUCUCAAGCGGUGCUUGAAGGGGAGGGAAAGGGGGAAAGCGGGCAACCACUUUUCCCUAGCUUUUCCAGAAGCCUGUUAAAAGCAAGGUCUCCCCACAAGCAACUUCUCUGCCACAUCGCCACCCCGUGCCUUUUGAUCUAGCACAGACCCUUCACCCCUCACCUCGAUGCAGCCAGUAGCUUGGAUCCUUGUGGGCAUGAUCCAUAAUCGGUUUCAAGGUAACGAUGGUGUCGAGGUCUUUGGUGGGUUGAACUAUGUUAGAAAAGGCCAUUAAUUUGCCUGCAAAUUGUUAACAGAAGGGUAUUAAAACCACAGCUAAGUAGCUCUAUUAUAAUACUUAUCCAGUGACUAAAACCAACUUAAACCAGUAAGUGGAGAAAUAACAUGUUCAAGAACUGUAAUGCUGGGUGGGAACAUGUAACUUGUAGACUGGAGAAGAUAGGCAUUUGAGUGGCUGAGAGGGCUUUUGGGUGGGAAUGCAAAAAUUCUCUGCUAAGACUUUUUCAGGUGAACAUAACAGACUUGGCCAAGCUAGCAUCUUAGCGGAAGCUGAUCUCCAAUGCUCUUCAGUAGGGUCAUGAAGGUUUUUCUUUUCCUGAGAAAACAACACGUAUUGUUUUCUCAGGUUUUGCUUUUUGGCCUUUUUCUAGCUUAAAAAAAAAAAAAGCAAAAGAUGCUGGUGGUUGGCACUCCUGGUUUCCAGGACGGGGUUCAAAUCCCUGCGGCGUCUUUGCUUUGACUACUAAUCUGUCUUCAGGACUCUUUCUGUAUUUCUCCUUUUCUCUGCAGGUGCUAGUUCUUGGAGUUUUGGGGAGGUGGGAGGUAACAGCACAAUAUCUUUGAACUAUAUACAUCCUUGAUGUAUAAUUUGUCAGGAGCUUGACUUGAUUGUAUAUUCAUAUUUACACGAGAACCUAAUAUAACUGCCUUGUCUUUUUCAGGUAAUAGCCUGCAGCUGGUGUUUUGAGAAGCCCUACUGCUGAAAACUUAACAAUUUUGUGUAAUAAAAAUGGAGAAGCUCUAAAUUGUUGUGGUUCUUUUGUGAAUAAAAAAAUCUUGAUUGG